AAGUAAUGAGAAAUAUUACUGAUACACUUCAAAAUAGAAUGUAUAUUUUACAUCUAUUUAUUUUAAAAGUCAAUAAUUCUCUAUCUGUCAUAUCAAUUUUUUUAUUUUUACUAAAAAUUAUUUGGAUUUUUGUGAAUUCUAGGAUCGGAGGUACGUAUAAGAUUUUUCUAUUUUUUUGGGAAUAUACAAGUAAAUUUUUUUAUAAUUAAUAUCAAAAAAGUAAUACUAUAUGCACUCUUAUAUGUAAUGUGCCAAAUACUGCUAUUUUUUUUACUAGUCAUAUUAAAUUUUUGAAUAAAUAUGAUAUAAAAUUUAUAUCUAUAUAGGGGGAGAGAGGAAGCAAUUUUCUUUUCCUAAUAAAAAAUACAAUAAACUUCAAAUACCAUCCCUGAAGUAUCGCAGUUUCUCACUUUGGUAUUCUGUAGUUUGAAAUGUAUUACUUUAGUACCAUGUGAUUUAAUUUUUCUUUUUCCGUCAAUUAACUUUCUCACUAAUUUAACGAAAAAAUUAACAGAGAGGAUAAUAAAAAUUAAAAAAAAAGAAACAAAAAUCAGAGAGUACUAAAGUAAUAUAUUUUAAACUAUAUGAAAUUAUACGAUACUUAAAUGAGACAGUACUAAACGACAAGGGUU
Molecule: long non-coding RNA, 632 nt
Filed under: Ananas comosus (pineapple)
Lineage: Eukaryota; Viridiplantae; Streptophyta; Magnoliopsida; Poales; Bromeliaceae
Description: long non-coding RNA (ACOM_LNC010614)
Source: RNAcentral